Molecule: ribosomal RNA, 529 nt
Filed under: Cronobacter sp.
Lineage: Bacteria; Pseudomonadati; Pseudomonadota; Gammaproteobacteria; Enterobacterales; Enterobacteriaceae
Description: bacterial SSU rRNA
Rfam family: Bacterial small subunit ribosomal RNA
Source: RNAcentral
CCGUUUAAUAACGGCGGCACAUUGACGGUACCCGCAGAAAAAGCCACGGCUAACUACGUGCCAGCAGCCGCGGUAAUACGGAGGGUGCAAGCGUUAAUCGGAAUUACUGGGCGUAAAGCGCACGCAGGCGGUCUAUGUAAGUCAGAUGUGAAAUCCCCGGGCUCAACCUGGGAACUGCAUUUGAAACUGUGUAGCUUGAGUCUCGUAGAGGGGGGUAGAAUUCCAGGUGUAGCGGUGAAAUGCGUAGAGAUCUGGAGGAAUACCGGUGGCGAAGGCGGCCCCCUGGACUGAAGACUGACGCUCAGGUGCGAAAAGCGUGGGGGAGCAAACAGGAUUAGAUACCCUGGUAGUCCACGCCGUUAAACGAUGUCGACUUGGAUGUUGGGCCCUUGGAGGCGUGGCUUCCGGAGCUAACGCGUUAAGUCGACCGCCUGGGGGAGUACGGCCGCAAGGUUAAAACUCAAAUGAAUUGACGGGGGCCCGCACAAAGCGGUGGAGCAUGUGGUUUAAUUCGAUGCAACGCGAAGAA